CCUACGGGAGUCAGCAGUGAGGAAUAUUGGUCAAUGGACGAGAGUCUGACCCAGCCAAGUAGCGUGAAGUCUGACUGCCCUAUGGGUUGUAAACUUCUUUUAUCUGGGAAUAAAAUGUUCCACGUGUGGGAUUUUGUAUGUACCAUAUGAAUAAGGAUCGGCUAACUCCGUGCCAGCAGCCCCGGUAAUACGGAGGAUCCGAGCGUUAUCCGGAUGUAUUGGGUUUAAAGGGAGCGUAGGUGGUUUGUUAAUUCAGUUGUGAAAGUUUGCGGCUCAACCGUAUAAUUGCAGUUGAAACUGGCAGUCUUGAGGACAGUAGAGGUGGGCGGAAUUCGUGGUGUAGCGGUGAAAUGCUUAGAUAUCACGAAGAACUCCGAGUGCGAAGGCAGUUCACUGGACUGCAACUGACACUGAGGCUCGAAAGUGUGGGUAUCAAACAGGAUUAGAUACCCUUGUAGUC
RNAcentral lists this ribosomal RNA (460 nucleotides) under uncultured bacterium. Its description in RNAcentral is "partial 16S ribosomal RNA". It matches the Rfam family "Bacterial small subunit ribosomal RNA", at positions 338 to 795 of the family's 1533-position model. The record is from RNAcentral.